RNAcentral lists this ribosomal RNA (364 nucleotides) under uncultured bacterium. RNAcentral describes it as "bacterial SSU rRNA". It matches the Rfam family "Bacterial small subunit ribosomal RNA", at positions 29 to 419 of the family's 1533-position model. The record is from RNAcentral.
AACGAACGCUGGCGGCAGGCUUAACACAUGCAAGUCGAACGCAUCCUUCGGGGUGAGUGGCAGACGGGUGAGUAACACGUGGGAACGUACCUUUCGGUUCGGGAUAACCCAGGGAAACUUGGGCUAAUACCGGGAUACGUCCUUAGGGAGGAAAGAUUCAUUGCCGAAAGAUCGGCCCGCGUCUGAUUAGCUAGUUGGUGAGGUAACGGCUCACCAAGGCGACGAUCAGUAGCUGGUCUGAGAGGANGAUCAGCCACACUGGGACUGAGACACGGCCCAGACUCCUACGGGAGGCAGCAGUGGGGAUAUUGGACAAUGGGCGCAAGCCUGAUCCAGCCAUGCCGCGUGAGUGAUGAAGGCCCUA